CACGCUGUAAACGAUGGAUACUAGGUGUGGGGGGUAUUGACCCCCUCCGUGCCGGAGUUAACACAAUAAGUAUCCCACCUGGGGAGUACGGCCGCAAGGUUGAAACUCAAAGGAAUUGACGGGGGCCCGCACAAGCAGUGGAGUAUGUGGUUUAAUUCGAAGCAACGCGAAGAACCUUACCAGGGCUUGACAUCCUACUAACGAGGCAGAGAUGCGUUAGGUGCCCUUCGGGGAAAGUAGAGACAGGUGG
RNAcentral lists this ribosomal RNA (250 nucleotides) under uncultured Oscillospiraceae bacterium. RNAcentral describes it as "partial 16S ribosomal RNA". It matches the Rfam family "Bacterial small subunit ribosomal RNA", at positions 796 to 1041 of the family's 1533-position model. The record is from RNAcentral. Lineage: Bacteria; Bacillati; Bacillota; Clostridia; Eubacteriales; Oscillospiraceae.